UAAGCGGAGGAAAAGAAACUAACAAGGAUUCCCCUAGUAACUGCGAGUGAAGCGGGAAAAGCUCAAAUUUAAAAUCUGGCGGUCUUUGGCCGUCCGAGUUGUAAUUUAGAGAAGCGUCUUCCGCGCUGGACCGUGCACAAGUCUCCUGGAAUGGAGCGUCAUAGAGGGUGAGAAUCCCGUCUUUGGCACGGAUGCCUGGUGCUUCUGUGAUGCGCUCUCGAAGAGUCGAGUUGUUUGGGAAUGCAGCUCAAAAUGGGUGGUGAACUCCAUCUAAAGCUAAAUAUUGGCGAGAGACCGAUAGCGAACAAGUACCGUGAGGGAAAGAUGAAAAGCACUUUGGAAAGAGAGUGAAACAGUACGUGAAAUUGUUGAAAGGGAAACGCUUGAAGUCAGUCGCGUCGACCGAGACUCAGCCUUGCCUUGGCUUGGUGUACUUCUCGGCCCGACGGGUCAGCAUCAAUUUUGCCCCUCGGAUAAUGGCANGGGAAAGGUGGCACCUUUACGGGUGUGUUAUAGUCUCCUGUCGAAUGNGAGGGGUGGGAUUGAGGAACUCAGCGCGCACCUCAGUGUCGGGGCUUCGGCCCACGUCACGCGCUUAGGAUGCUGGCGUAAUGGCUUUAAACGACC
RNAcentral lists this ribosomal RNA (627 nucleotides) under Lactarius sp. GAL17116. RNAcentral's name for it is "LSU rRNA". It matches the Rfam family "Eukaryotic large subunit ribosomal RNA", at positions 47 to 649 of the family's 3401-position model. The record is from RNAcentral. Lineage: Eukaryota; Fungi; Basidiomycota; Agaricomycetes; Russulales; Russulaceae.